This 324-nucleotide long non-coding RNA is filed under the name Mustela putorius furo (domestic ferret). Its description in RNAcentral is "lncRNA (ENSMPUG00000025349.1)". The record is from RNAcentral. Lineage: Eukaryota; Metazoa; Chordata; Mammalia; Carnivora; Mustelidae.
AUGCCAGCCAGAUUCCCCGUAUCUCCCCCGCUCCCUCCCCCCACCCCUACCGAGGCUGGCCUGGAAACACAGCAGCCAGUGACCACAGAGCUGGACAGAAAAGAACCCGUGGCCAGUAUCCUGGGAUCUGACAUGAGCCAUUAGGAAUUUCUUAAGCAACCGCCGACUGGGAAAGGCAACUACCAGUGCUGAAAAAGUAUGUUAAAACUCAUUUUUUUUUUUUACAGUAAAAGUCCCAAAGAUAGACAAAGACGCUGAGUUGACUCAUCGCCCUCAAAUAGAGGAGUCAUCUUGAUGGUGACAUUCAUCCUGACGUCCUGACGG